CCAAUAGCGUAUAUUAGUGUUGUUGCGGUUAAAAAGCUCGUAGUUGAAUUUCGGGAUUGGGAUAUAUCGGUCGUGCCUUUAGGGGCAUGAAUCAGUGUGUGGCCAAUUCUCGCCUUCUGGUGAAUUGGGAUGCUCUCGGGUGUUUCAAUGAACUAGGACUUUUACUUUGAAAAAAUUAGAGUGUUUAAAGCGGGCAUUUU
Molecule: ribosomal RNA, 200 nt
Filed under: uncultured Glomus
Lineage: Eukaryota; Fungi; Glomeromycota; Glomeromycetes; Glomerales; Glomeraceae
Description: partial small subunit ribosomal RNA
Rfam family: Eukaryotic small subunit ribosomal RNA
Source: RNAcentral